Molecule: long non-coding RNA, 543 nt
Organism: Hyaena hyaena (striped hyena)
Lineage: Eukaryota; Metazoa; Chordata; Mammalia; Carnivora; Hyaenidae
Exons: 3
Source: RefSeq, a predicted model, not a curated record
AGCCUUUAGGUCUCACUCUGACAAGGGGCAAAACCGAGCCGUCCAGGCAGAGGGGGUCUGAAGCUGGGGGCUUGUCUGUUUGCUCAGCUAAUCUCAGCACCACGUCAGACAUGCUAAAGCCGAUGGUCUGAACCAGAGGCGAAUACUCAGAGUUCAAGGCCAUACACUGUUGUCCUACCCUCAGUUCAUGGCUCUGCUCUAAGCUCUGCUAGGCAGUGUAAUGGAGAUUCUUCCCUAAUGGAGGUUCAUGGACGCACAGCACAAAAACCAGAAUGAUAAAUGAAAAUAAUUGAACGAUGUCAACACAUCAAGAGACGUUGAGCCCAAACAGCAUUCGCAAACCUGGAACUUUUAUCUAUACCUCUGAAAACAGCCGUUCAGGAGUCUGGGAGUCUGAAAGUCAGUCCAUUGAUCUCAGUGGAAGAAAUCAGUCAGGGGCGGAAGAAUAGAACAGGGUGUGUGUUUUACAUGUAGGUUCCUGGGCGCUGUGCCCUGGAGACUGUCAUUCGGAAGCUGAGGCUGUGAAUCCUCCCUGGAACUGAC